AGAGUUUGAUCCUGGCUCAGGAUGAACGCUGGCGGCGUGCCUAACACAUGCAAGUUGAGCGAUUUACUUCGGUAAAGAGCGGCGGACGGGUGAGUAACGCGUGGGUAACCUACCCUGUACACACGGAUAACAUACCGAAAGGUAUGCUAAUACGGGAUAAUAUAUUUGAGAGGCAUCUCUUGAAUAUCAAAGGUGAGCCAGUACAGGAUGGACCCGCGUCUGAUUAGCUAGUUGGUAAGGUAACGGCUUACCAAGGCGACGAUCAGUAGCCGACCUGAGAGGGUGAUCGGCCACAUUGGAACUGAGACACGGUCCAAACUCCUACGGGAGGCAGCAGUGGGGAAUAUUGCACAAUGGGCGAAAGCCUGAUGCAGCAACGCCGCGUGAGUGAUGAAGGCCUUCGGGUCGUAAAACUCUGUCCUCAAGGAAGAUAAUGACGGUACUUGAGGAGGAAGCCCCGGCUAACUACGUGCCAGCAGCCGCGGUAAUACGUAGGGGGCUAGCGUUAUCCGGAUUUACUGGGCGUAAAGGGUGCGUAGGCGGUCUUUCAAGUCAGGAGUGAAAGGCUACGGCUCAACCGUAGUAAGCUCUUGAAACUGGGAGACUUGAGUGCAGGAGAGGAGAGUGGAAUUCCUAGUGUAGCGGUGAAAUGCGUAGAUAUUAGGAGGAACACCAGUUGCGAAGGCGGCUCUCUGGACUGUAACUGACGCUGAGGCACGAAAGCGUGGGGAGCAAACAGGAUUAGAUACCCU
Molecule: ribosomal RNA, 752 nt
Filed under: Clostridioides difficile CD22
Lineage: Bacteria; Bacillati; Bacillota; Clostridia; Peptostreptococcales; Peptostreptococcaceae
Description: bacterial SSU rRNA
Rfam family: Bacterial small subunit ribosomal RNA
Source: RNAcentral